RNAcentral lists this ribosomal RNA (254 nucleotides) under uncultured bacterium. Its description in RNAcentral is "partial 16S ribosomal RNA". It matches the Rfam family "Bacterial small subunit ribosomal RNA", at positions 524 to 776 of the family's 1533-position model. The record is from RNAcentral.
CACGUAGGGUGCGAGCGUUGUCCGGAAUUAUUGGGCGUAAAGAGCUCGUAGGCGGUGUGUCGCGUCGGCCGUGAAAACCUGCAGCUUAACUGUGGGCUUGCGGUCGAUACGGGCAUCACUGGAGUUCGGCAGGGGAGACUGGAAUUCCUGGUGUAGCGGUGAAAUGCGUUGAGAUCCGGAGGAACGCCCGCGGCGAAAGCGCGUCCCUGGACCCCGCCUGACGCUGAGACGCGAAAGCCAGGGGAGCGAACGGG